GCCACUAUAGCUCAGCUGGUAGAGCGGCUGACUUGUAAUCAGCAGGCCGGGAGUUCAAAUCUCCCUAGUGGCU
RNAcentral lists this transfer RNA (73 nucleotides) under Methanomassiliicoccales archaeon. RNAcentral describes it as "tRNA-Thr". It matches the Rfam family "tRNA". Rfam says of the family: Transfer RNA (tRNA) molecules are approximately 80 nucleotides in length. Their secondary structure includes four short double-helical elements and three loops (D, anti-codon, and T loops). Lineage: Archaea; Methanobacteriati; Thermoplasmatota; Thermoplasmata; Methanomassiliicoccales. The record is from RNAcentral. RNAcentral also lists the same sequence under 1 other name.